RNAcentral lists this non-coding RNA (28 nucleotides) under Rattus norvegicus (Norway rat). The record is from RNAcentral. Lineage: Eukaryota; Metazoa; Chordata; Mammalia; Rodentia; Muridae.
UGUCAAGCUAUAAAUGUAUGGGAAGAGG